AUAUCUCUCUGUACGGGAAGGAUGAGAAGCUUCGACUAAGGUUCGAUUCGAGCGCAGCGAGAAAGCGUUGCCGCAGGCAACGACCCGAAGGGCGAAGCGCGCAGCGCUGAGUCAUCCUUC
Molecule: small RNA, 120 nt
Filed under: Salmonella enterica subsp. enterica serovar Ohio
Lineage: Bacteria; Pseudomonadati; Pseudomonadota; Gammaproteobacteria; Enterobacterales; Enterobacteriaceae
Also listed under: 1 other name
Description: partial RtT sRNA
Rfam family: RtT RNA
About the family: This family represents a bacterial cis-regulatory element known as RtT RNA. The exact function of RtT is unknown although it is thought that it may be involved in changing the cellular response in relation to amino acid starvation.
Source: RNAcentral